CUUGAACAACCCAAAUUAACCAGAAUUUCACAUUAACUAAAUCACUUGUCGAAGCACGAUGCUAAAAAUGGAGAACCAAAUUUAUCCAGUGCCCUCUUGUGAAUCCAAAUGAAAUCCUUUUGAGAGUGCAAAUAGCCGUUAUCCGAAUGUUCAAAAUAUCUGAGACUAGAAUGUAACGGGUAAAAAAAAGAUGAACGUUGUUAUGGAGGGCAGGAAAAAGCAAAAAAAAUCAUAUGGGGGUUAUAUAAAACCAUUUCGUCUUUCUUUUACAACAAGUAUUCUUCCUGUUUCUGUUCUCUCUCUCUCUCUCUCUGUUAUAUUUUUUUUCAAUGUCUUCUAGAGAAUCUCUUUGUUUGUUUUGUUCCGCAGGAUUUUUCAUCUUUUUGUUUGUUUUGUUUUCUCUAGGAUUUUUCAUCUUAAGGGUUUUGUUACAGCGUGCACGCUGGUCUGUAUUUCCAUUUUAUUUUCGUUGGUUUCUCUGUGAUUUUUUCCAUAUUUUUUAGGUCGGUUUCUCUGUGAUUUUUUUCCAUUUUUUUUGGUUGGUUUCUCUAUUUUACAUAGGAACAGGCUGAACAGGGGAAGAGGCAGAGAAAAAGGAAGAGGCAGGGCAAAAAGAAGCGACAACUGGUAGAGGCAAAAUCCUUGUUCUAGAGACUGGAGAAUGAAUUUGUGCAGGAAUAUUUGGCAAGUGAGGAAGGAUGGAGGAGUUGUGCUACAAGCCAAUUCUGCUAUUUUGGAUUCAAUGAUAAAACCACUAGGGAGGGAUGGAGGGACUGAGAGAGAGGUUAAGAGGGACAUUCUUAUCUGCCUGAAAUUGAAGGCUCUGCGCUAGUGUACAUUCAGGGAUAUACAAUUCAAGCAGAUAGUGCAAGCUCACAACCAGUCACAGCAACUCUUCAACGCAAAGUCCUGAUGCAAAUGUCCAACAUGUUGGAGGCAAAAUCAUUGCAGUUAUUGGAACAUGUAGGUGUAGGUUGCUGAGAAGUUGGUUAUUGGAACUAGUGUGGAUUUGGAACAGCAAGGGAUGGGAUUGGGUAUUUACCAUUUUUUAGUCAUGUCUUGGUCAAUUACAUUGACUCAAUAGCUUUGUAUCAUGUACAAAUACAAUGAUUAAUAAAAAAAAUUUAUUGAAAGGGGAAAAACCCCUUUCAGAGACUGAAGGGAAUGGUCAUUGGCCAUGGCCAUUCCUUAAGGUCGUGUGUUUUUCUGACAGCUU
Long non-coding RNA from Cryptomeria japonica (Japanese cedar), 1216 nucleotides. RefSeq lists it as uncharacterized. The transcript has 3 exons. The record is from RefSeq and is a predicted model, not a curated record. NCBI's taxonomy places the organism in Eukaryota, Viridiplantae, Streptophyta, Pinopsida, Cupressales, Cupressaceae.